RNAcentral lists this ribosomal RNA (764 nucleotides) under uncultured Streptococcus sp. RNAcentral describes it as "bacterial SSU rRNA". It matches the Rfam family "Bacterial small subunit ribosomal RNA", at positions 28 to 776 of the family's 1533-position model. The record is from RNAcentral. Lineage: Bacteria; Bacillati; Bacillota; Bacilli; Lactobacillales; Streptococcaceae.
GACGAACGCGGCGGCGUGCAUAAUACAUGCAAGUAGAACGCUGAAGAGAGGAGCUUGCUCUUCUUGGAUGAGUUGCGAACGGGUGAGUAACGCGUAGGUAACCUGCCUUGUAGCGGGGGAUAACUAUUGGAAACGAUAGCUAAUACCGCAUAACAAUGGAUGACACAUGUCAUUUAUUUGAAAGGGGCAAUUGCUCCACUACAAGAUGGACCUGCGUUGUAUUAGCUAGUAGGUGAGGUAACGGCUCACCUAGGCGACGAUACAUAGCCGACCUGAGAGGGUGAUCGGCCACACUGGGACUGAGACACGGCCCAGACUCCUACGGGAGGCAGCAGUAGGGAAUCUUCGGCAAUGGGGGCAACCCUGACCGAGCAACGCCGCGUGAGUGAAGAAGGUUUUCGGAUCGUAAAGCUCUGUUGUAAGUCAAGAACGAGUGUGAGAGUGGAAAGUUCACACUGUGACGGUAGCUUACCAGAAAGGGACGGCUAACUACGUGCCAGCAGCCGCGGUAAUACGUAGGUCCCGAGCGUUGUCCGGAUUUAUUGGGCGUAAAGCGAGCGCAGGCGGUUUGAUAAGUCUGAAGUUAAAGGCUGUGGCUCAACCAUAGUUCGCUUUGGAAACUGUCAAACUUGAGUGCAGAAGGGGAGAGUGGAAUUCCAUGUGUAGCGGUGAAAUGCGUAGAUAUAUGGAGGAACACCGGUGGCGAAAGCGGCUCUCUGGUCUGUAACUGACGCUGAGGCUCGAAAGCGUGGGGAGCGAACAGG